Molecule: microRNA precursor, 77 nt
Filed under: Paramuricea clavata
Lineage: Eukaryota; Metazoa; Cnidaria; Anthozoa; Malacalcyonacea; Plexauridae
Source: RNAcentral
UACCUCAAAAAACCACAACAGUCUGUUUUAUCAGUCUGAUGAUUCCUAUACGGAUGAAACAGACUGUUGUGGUUUUU